Molecule: long non-coding RNA, 485 nt
Organism: Portunus trituberculatus (swimming crab)
Lineage: Eukaryota; Metazoa; Arthropoda; Malacostraca; Decapoda; Portunidae
Exons: 3
Source: RefSeq, a predicted model, not a curated record
CUCUGCCUCCCUCAGAAUGAACAAGAUUGGUUUUCAGCGUUCGUAGCCACACUUUGCCACGCCACACCCACCAUCCUGCACGCCUCGCUGUCUCUAAGGUCACCAGUCACCACUCUUUCUUCAUCUGUUUAUCAGUCGAGAUUAUUCCAGUGACUUUUAAGAUAUUAAGACGACACUAAGGAUGAAGUCAGUCCGGGUAACCAACCAGCCCGGGGGAUUUCCAGACUGAUAAAGUGAAACACAAACGCCGCCACCACAAGAGAGACAAGAUAGGUUAUGGGUCUCACCGCCACUCGUCACAUGCACCGCCACCACUACAGACAGAGACAAGGAAGGCUAUGGGUACUCACCACCACUCGUCCAACUCUUCAUCCGACGAGUAGGCGAUGUAGUUGUUGAAUGAUUUCCGAAUGCUCAGGCGUCUGGUGCUUUCCUGGAAAAAUAAAUAAAUAAUGAAAUAAAUGAAAAUAAAAAAUAACGAGCAA